This 18-nucleotide small nuclear RNA is filed under the name Arabidopsis thaliana (thale cress). RNAcentral describes it as "snRNA_15801". Lineage: Eukaryota; Viridiplantae; Streptophyta; Magnoliopsida; Brassicales; Brassicaceae. The record is from RNAcentral.
CUAGAUUUUAACUCGCGG